UACGAAGGGUGCAAGCGUUGCUCGGAAUUAUUGGGCGUAAAGGGUAGGUAGGUGGUGAUAUUUGUCUGGGGUGAAAUCCCUGAGCUUAACUCAGGACGUGCCUUGGAAACGGUAUCACUAGAGUACUAGAGAGGUUCGUGGAAUUCUUGGUGUAGCGGUGAAAUGCGUAGAGAUCAAGAGGAACAUCAGAGGCGAAGGCGACGAACUGGAUAGUAACUGACACUAAACUACGAAAGCGUGGGGAGCAAACAGG
RNAcentral lists this ribosomal RNA (253 nucleotides) under uncultured bacterium. RNAcentral's name for it is "partial 16S ribosomal RNA". It matches the Rfam family "Bacterial small subunit ribosomal RNA", at positions 524 to 776 of the family's 1533-position model. The record is from RNAcentral.